Molecule: long non-coding RNA, 456 nt
Filed under: Mytilus galloprovincialis (Mediterranean mussel)
Lineage: Eukaryota; Metazoa; Mollusca; Bivalvia; Mytilida; Mytilidae
Source: RNAcentral
UGUCAAAAAGUAAUUUUGAGUUUCUGUAUAAAAUAUUUUCUGCUUUUUCUUUCUUUUACAUAUAUCUUUUGAUUUUCAAUUCUAGUGUUUAUAUUCAUUUACCGUGCAUAGAUGUAUUUUGUCACCUGCCUGGUUUUUUUUGUAGUUGAUCGCCAAAACCCGGAAUUACCCUUAUCUGCUUCCGGAAUCCGAUCCGAUAUUGUAAAUUUUUGUCUCCACGGCAGCCAUUGUUAUUUUGUUUACAUUGUUGUUUUGUCAAUCAGAUACGAUUUUACUCGAAUUUACACAUUAAUUGUCAGUGAUUUUCUGUAUAAAGCGAGCGGUUGAACAAAAUGAGCAUCGCUGUCAUGAAUAAUAAUAUUGAAAAUAAGUUUAUAGAUCGUUUAUUUAGAGACUUUGGUGAAAAGGUUUGCAAAGUUAUUUCUUAUUUUCUUUCAAGUGGAAGGUGACUCCAUC